RNAcentral lists this ribosomal RNA (204 nucleotides) under uncultured bacterium. Its description in RNAcentral is "partial 16S ribosomal RNA". It matches the Rfam family "Bacterial small subunit ribosomal RNA", at positions 1297 to 1500 of the family's 1533-position model. The record is from RNAcentral.
AUCGCAGGCUGCAACUCGCCUGCGUGAAGUUGGAAUUGCUAGUAAUCGCGGAUCAGCAUGCCGCGGUGAAUACGUUCCCGGGCCUUGUACACACCGCCCGUCACACCAUGGGAGUUUGUAACACCCGAAGUCAGUAUCCUAACCGCAAGGGGGGAGCUGCCGAAGGUGGGAUAAGCGACUGGGGUGAAGUCGUAACAAGGUAUC